Small nucleolar RNA from Pseudophryne corroboree (corroboree frog), 125 nucleotides. RefSeq annotates it as small nucleolar RNA SNORA15. NCBI's taxonomy places the organism in Eukaryota, Metazoa, Chordata, Amphibia, Anura, Myobatrachidae. The transcript has a single exon. The record is from RefSeq and is a predicted model, not a curated record.
GCAUGGAUGAAUUCUGCAUUACCUUGUGGUGAUGUUUGCAGUCAGACACCAUGCUAAAAUAAUCUCUCUUGUGCUUUUCUUGGACGCUUUUGCAUGGGAGCGUCCAGGUGCAAUAGAGUACAAUA